Molecule: long non-coding RNA, 1067 nt
Organism: Parus major (Great Tit)
Lineage: Eukaryota; Metazoa; Chordata; Aves; Passeriformes; Paridae
Exons: 3
Source: RefSeq, a predicted model, not a curated record
ACAUCUUUCUUUCUUCACAGGAAAGAAGGAGGAGAACUUUGCAAGGGUCCUGUUAUCUAGGAUGGAGAAAGAAAUCCAGGUAUUCUCCCAGAGAAUUAAAACUCUGCAAGAAGAUGUACAAGAAUGGCCAGAGACCACAAUGUAUGAGCUUGAUCUUCUCAGAGCACAGCUGGAAGGAAAGGAAGAGGAGGAAAUUUCAAGGGCCCUGUCAUACAGGUUGAAUCUGAAAUUCCAGCAGCUCUUCCAAGAAAUUAAAACUUUGGAAGAAGAUUUAGAGGAAUUGCUGAAGUUAUCACAAAAUGAGUUUCAGCUUCUCAGUGCAGACCAGAAGUAACAAGGCAUGGUUGUAGGAAGGUGCAUAAGAAGACAAGUGGUGCAAUACAAACACACAGACAACUUCUGCAUGGAUGAAAUAUUGAUCACUGAGCAAAAUUGAAGUCUGGAAUAAAGUCACAAGUUUUUGGAGAAAUAAUUAUAAUGUAUUGUCUCUAUCACUUUAUUUCAUACUUCUGGUUGUGGUUGAAGAAAUAAUGGAGCUGGAAUGGAAAGGUCCUCAGAAAAGUCUUUAAAGAAGUUCUAUGUUGCUUCCUAUUUUUUCCAUCCAGCCUUCAUUACAUUUUUCCUGAGCUUGACCUCCCACGCUGCCUGCAUUUCCAGGGCUCACUGUAUGGGGAAAUGCUCAUGCUGCUGAGUGAGAUAAUUUUUAGGGCAUUCACCUCCUGUGCUUUGGUUUCUAAUCCUCCUGUGUCAUGGCAGAUACAUUGACCGUGUGGUACCAACAAAAGAUGGAAACAGCAGCCAAAGGCCACCCAAAGCAGAGCAGCUGCAAGACUCAGCAAGUUCUACACCAAAUCUCAGGGAAGACUCCUGGGAAUCUUGGACUUUGAAUAUUCUAACAUUUCGUGUGUAUAAAGAAUCUGGGAUGCACUGCAGUAUGGGAAUAAUUUCAUCUGGAGAAUGAAGUGUUCAGUUGCAGUUAUGAUUUUUAUGUCACAUGUUUACUACAUUCACAUUGCUCAUCUUCUUUUCUGCUUCUGUUUUUAAUAAAUUUAUAUCAACACAAGUUU